Molecule: ribosomal RNA, 247 nt
Filed under: uncultured bacterium
Lineage: Bacteria
Description: partial 16S ribosomal RNA
Rfam family: Bacterial small subunit ribosomal RNA
Source: RNAcentral
AUACGGAGGAUCCGAGCGUUAUCCGGAUUUAUUGGGUUUAAAGGGUGCGCAGGCGGGAUGUUAAGUCGGCGGUGAAAUUUUGCAGCUCAACUGUAAAAGUGCCUUCGAUACUGGCUUCCUUGAGUGUGGAUGAAGUAGGCGGAAUUUGUGGUGUAGCGGUGAAAUGCUUAGAUAUCACGAGGAACUCCGAUUGCGCAGGCAGCUUAUUAAGCCACUACUGACGCUCAUGCACGAAGGCGUGGGGAUC